CCGGAGUGGACGAACCUCUGGUGUUCCGGUUGUCACGCCAGUGGCAUCGCCGGGUAGCUAUGUUCGGACGGGAUAACCGCUGAAAGCAUCUAAGCGGGAAGCCUCCCUCGAGAUGAGAUCUCACUAAAUCUUCGGAUUUCUGAAGGGCCCUCGUAGACUACGAGGUUGAUAGGCGGGAUGUGUAAGCGCUGUGAGGCGUUGAGCUAACCCGUACUAAUUGCCCGUGCGGCUUGACCAUAUAA
Molecule: ribosomal RNA, 242 nt
Filed under: Gammaproteobacteria bacterium
Lineage: Bacteria; Pseudomonadati; Pseudomonadota; Gammaproteobacteria
Description: partial 23S ribosomal RNA
Rfam family: Bacterial large subunit ribosomal RNA
Source: RNAcentral